UAAAGGCCUACCAAGGCGACGAUGCGUAGCCGACCUGAGAGGGUGAUCGGCCACACUGGGACUGAGACACGGCCCAGACUCCUACGGGAGGCAGCAGUAGGGAAUCUUCCGCAAUGGACGAAAGUCUGACGGAGCAACGCCGCGUGAGCGAAGAAGGUCUUCGGAUCGUAAAGCUCUGUUGUCAGGGAAGAACAAGUACCGGACGUAACAGAGCGGUACCUUGACGGUACCUAACCAGAAAGCCACGGCUAACUACGUGCCAGCAGCCGCGGUAAUACGUAGGUGGCAAGCGUUGUCCGGAAUCAUUGGGCGUAAAGCGCGCGCAGGCGGUCUCUUUAAGUCUGAUGUGAAAGCCCACGGCUCAACCGUAGAGCGGUCAUUGGAAACUGGGAGACUUGAGUGCAGAAGAGGAAAGCGGAAUUCCACGUGUAGCGGUGAAAUGCGUAGAGAUAUGGAGGAACACCAGUGGCGAAGGCGGCUCUCUGGCCUGUAACUGACGCUGAGGCGCGAAAGCGUGGGGAGCGAACAGGAUUAGAUACCCUGGUAGUCCACGCCGUAAACGAUGAGUGCUAAGUGUUAGAGGGCUUCCACCCUUUAGUGCUGCAGCUAACGCAUUAAGCACUCCGCCUGGGGAGUACGGCCGCAAGGCUGAAACUCAAAGGAAUUGACGGGGGCCGCACAAGCGGUGGAGCAUGUGGUUUANUUCGAAGCAACGCGAAGAACCUUACCAGGUCUUGACAUCCUUCGCUACCUCUAGAGAUAGAGGGUUCCCCUUCGGGGGACGGAGUGACAGGUGGUGCAUGGUUGUCGUCAGCUCGUGUCGUGAGAUGUUGGGUUAAGUCCCGCAACGAGCGCAACCCUUGACCUUAGUUGCCAGCAUUCAGUUGGGCACUCUAAGGUGACUGCCGGUGACAAACCGGAGGAAGGUGGGGAUGACGUCAAAUCAUCAUGCCCCUUAUGACCUGGGCUACACACGUGCUACAAUGGAUGGUACAAAGGGUCGCGAAACCGCGAGGUGGAGCUAAUCCCAAAAAACCAUUCUCAGUUCGGAUUGCAGGCUGCAACUCGCCUGCAUGAAGCCGGAAUCGCUAGUAAUCGCGGAUCAGCAUGCCGCGGUGAAUACGUUCCCGGGCCUUGUACACACCGCCCGUCACACCACGAGAGUUUGCAACACCCGAAGUCGGUGAGGUAACCCUUACGGGAGCCAGCCGCCGAAGGUGGGGCAGAUGAUUGGGGUGAAGUCGUAACAAGGUAGCCGUAUCGGAAGGUGCGGCU
Molecule: ribosomal RNA, 1275 nt
Filed under: Bacillus sp. MC-17
Lineage: Bacteria; Bacillati; Bacillota; Bacilli; Caryophanales; Bacillaceae
Description: bacterial SSU rRNA
Rfam family: Bacterial small subunit ribosomal RNA
Source: RNAcentral